GGGUUGUAGCUCAAUGAUAAAGCAUUUGCCUAGCAUGUGUGAGACCCUGGGUUCAACCCCCAGUAACACA
RNAcentral lists this transfer RNA (70 nucleotides) under Marmota monax (woodchuck). RNAcentral describes it as "tRNA.Ala". The record is from RNAcentral. Lineage: Eukaryota; Metazoa; Chordata; Mammalia; Rodentia; Sciuridae.